ACUGACUGUGUAUGAAGCCUCUACCGAUACUAACUAUAAGUAGCUAGGACAUGACCCUAGCUAUCCCUGAUCAAUACAACUGAAUAAAAUUGAUACUAGAACUAUAGUUGACUUGAGUUUCCAAAUCAAGAGAACUCAUCACCUACUAUUUGGAAGAUGCCAACUGUUUGAUUAUGGUGUGUGGGCUAUAACUAGUACCUACAUUAUGAAACAAUGUAUCCACACAGACGUAUAUGUGGUUAGUACAUCUAGAAUGUACUGAGUAUGUGGGAUUAAAUGCUAUAAGUAAAGCUAAAGUUGAACAUACUUUCAAAUCAGUCAUGAUAAGUGCAAAAGGACUCACCAUGGUUGUGAAUAAAAAUGAAAGCUGAAAUAUCAUGAAACAUGAAUAAUAAAGCAUAAUUUGAUAAGCUUAGUGAGUCAUUACAUUUAGUUUCCAAAAUCUAUACUUUUAUGGGAGAUUUUUAUAGCCGACAUAAAUCAUGUGAGUAAUCAUGGAGUCCAAUAUCUUACCCAUAUUAAGGAGAGAUAUUCUACCCUUCCAUCAGAAUAGAACCUUAGCUUAGAGUAAUAGCUGAACUUAUCCCAUCAGGGGCAAGGAGACACCCUCGGAUGAGGUCCCCAUAAACCUACAAUGGGACGUAGUUUUUGGAGAAUAGGAUGCACUAAGCCAACAUUGCCGUCUUGGUGUUAAAUAUUGCUCCCAAAACAUAUACUUAUAUGAUCAUACUUAUAAAAUCCACCUUAAAAUAGUAUAUGGGUUUAGAAAUUGAAAACUAACUAUGUUUCACUUGUUUAAAUCGUACUCAUAAAUGAACUUAUGGAUUUUAUGUCUUAUUUGAGAUCAUAAGAAAAAAAAUUAAACUUUAAUCAUGUUGUAAUAUUUGACACUUGAAUUGAUAAACUUCAACUUCUUGUAAUCUCAGUAACUUAUGAUUAUAAAUGAAAUCAUUUAUCAUCUCAUAAAAGCUUCAUAUAAAAAUAUCAAACUGAAUAGCUAAGAUCACUUUCAUGGAUAAAAUAAUUAGUAAACACGAAAUCAUAUGCAAAAUAAUGUUCAAUCAAUGAGAAGAAUCAAAAUCUCAAUGCAUAAUAAAAGUGGGUAUAAACCCUAGUAAGCCAAUUUAUUAAACAACAAUUAAAAAUCAAAAUUUUGGGCACAAGGAUAGAAGAAUAUCCUUGUUCAAACCCCACAUACCUAAAUUUAGUGAAUCUCUUGAAAAAAAUAUGAAUUGGAGAUAUGGGAUUUGAUCUUUUGGAAGAAACCCUAACUUCUUUUAUCUUAAGAGUGGAGAGGAGAAUGAGUG
Molecule: long non-coding RNA, 1307 nt
Filed under: Capsicum annuum
Lineage: Eukaryota; Viridiplantae; Streptophyta; Magnoliopsida; Solanales; Solanaceae
Description: long non-coding RNA (CANN_LNC008186)
Source: RNAcentral